Molecule: ribosomal RNA, 401 nt
Filed under: uncultured bacterium
Lineage: Bacteria
Description: bacterial SSU rRNA
Rfam family: Bacterial small subunit ribosomal RNA
Source: RNAcentral
CAAGUCUUGACAUCCCCCUGACGUGGCCGUAACGGGCCAUUUCCUCCGGGACAGGGGAGACAGGUGGUGCAUGGUUGUCGUCAGCUCGUGUCGUGAGAUGUUGGGUUAAGUCCCGCAACGAGCGCAACCCUUAUCCCCAGUAGCCAGCAGGUGAUGCUGGGCACUCUGAGGAGACUGCCAGGGACAACCUGGAGGAAGGUGGGGAUGACGUCAAAUCAUCAUGCCCCUUAUGAUUUGGGCUACACACGUGCUACAAUGGCGUACACAGAGGGAAGCGAGAGGGUGACCUGGAGCGAACCCCAAAAAGGACGUCCCAGUUCGGACUGUGGUCUGCAACCCGACCACACGAAGCUGGAAUCGCUAGUAAUCGCGGAUCAGAAUGCCGCGGUGAAUACGUUCCC